AAAAGUGAUAGUAAAGAAAAAUAUAUUAUUAGAAUAUAUAUUAUUAGAAUUUUAUUUUUUUAUUUUUGAAUAAAUGCAGUUCUUUUUAACCUUUUAUUCAUCAAAUAUAUUAGACAGCAGAACUGUUUCCAACACUCAUAAUAAAUCAGAGUAUUAGAAUGAUUUCUAAAUGAUCAUGUGAUAGACUGGAUGUUACAUGUGACACUGAAGGCUGGAGUAAUGAUGCUGAAAAUUCAGCUUUGCAUCACAGGAAUAAAUUAUUUUUUAAAAGUAUAUUCAAAUAGAAAACUAUUAUUUUAAGUUGUAAUAAUAUUUCACAAUAUUACUGUUUUUUCUGUAUUUUUGAUCAAAUAAAUGCAGGCUUGAUGAGCAGAAGAGACUUCUUUCAAAAACAUUAAAAAUAGUAAUGUUUCCAAACUUUUGGUCUGUACUGUGUGUAUAUAUAUAUAUAUAUAUAUAUAUAUAUAUAUAUAUAUAUAUAUAUAUAUAUAUAUAUAUAUAUAUAUAUUAUAAAAAACACUAUAAGAUUGUGUUCACUAACGUUAAUUAAAAGUUGACAUGAAUGAACAAUAAAUAAUAAAUUAAUAAAUGUAUGUAUCUUGAUUGAUGUUAAUUUCAUUGUUAAAUUUAAUGAAAAUUAUUUAAUUCGUUAUGAACUAAUUACUAGUCUAUGUGACCUUUCUGUAAAAGCGUCACAUUUUUCUCUCUCUUAUGGAGAUGAAAUGUGACCGGGACAUUUUUGUGAGAUUGGCCCUAUGAAGAGGUGCAGUUUGUGUAUUGAGCAAGACAAUCUUGCUCAGUCUUGAAAUCUCCCCCGUAGCUGUGGGGUUAAACAGAUGUUGUGUCUUGGAGAGGUUUUGGACUGCGUGGAUCUGGUUUGGUUGAUCAUCUGAAUGAUCCGCAUCCUUGUGUUUCUACCAAAGACUGCUUCAGCCACACACACAUCUGUACAUCCUGUAUAUAAACAUGAUCACAUGCUUUGGAGACUACGUUCACUGAAGGUCCAUCAUGAUAAAUUGUAUUUUUUUAACACUACGUAUGCAAAAAGCCAGAGAUGCAUCUGGCCACAGGGUGUCACUGUUGAGUGGCAUCUGUCUGGAUUUGAGCACAUGUCCACUGUUACUGCUCAUAUAAGCCAGCUGAUCACACCUGACUAA
Cyprinus carpio carpio is the source of this 1157-nucleotide long non-coding RNA. The record is from Ensembl. NCBI's taxonomy places the organism in Eukaryota, Metazoa, Chordata, Actinopteri, Cypriniformes, Cyprinidae.